GGAGGUAUUGCUCAGUGGUAGAGCGUGUGCUUAGCAUGCACGGGAUUCUGGGUUCAAUCCCCAGUACCUCCA
This 72-nucleotide transfer RNA is filed under the name Camelus bactrianus (Bactrian camel). It matches the Rfam family "tRNA". From Rfam's summary of the family: Transfer RNA (tRNA) molecules are approximately 80 nucleotides in length. RNAcentral also lists the same sequence under 1 other name. The record is from Rfam by way of RNAcentral. Lineage: Eukaryota; Metazoa; Chordata; Mammalia; Artiodactyla; Camelidae.